UUGGUUUCGUGGAUGAUUGCUUUGGGGACAGGUUUUCGAAUCUAGGCCCCGAAGAGGAAAGUCCGGACUCCCUAGGACAGCGCAAGGGAUAACGUCCCUCCACCGUAAGGUGAGGAACAGUGGAACAGAGAGAAUGUCCAGGGCCUUGAUCUCAGAACCGGGAACGGGAGGUUUUGAGGGAGCCGCUGGAGUGAAAACAGCUAAACUCUGCGUGGAGCAAGAUCAAAUAGGGGAGCUCAAUGCCUGGUCCGGGCAAGGCUUCCGGGUAAGAUCGCUUGAGGGCGGGGGUAACUCCGCUCCCAGAGAAAUGAUCAUCCAUCCUUCUCGGGAUUUUUAUGGGACCUGGGAGGGAGGACAGAAUCCGGCUUACAGCGAAACCAAUGAU
This 385-nucleotide RNase P RNA is filed under the name Pseudobdellovibrionaceae bacterium. Its description in RNAcentral is "Bdellovibrionaceae bacterium (activated sludge metagenome) RNase P RNA component class A". It matches the Rfam family "Bacterial RNase P class A". Rfam says of the family: Ribonuclease P (RNase P) is a ubiquitous endoribonuclease, found in archaea, bacteria and eukarya as well as chloroplasts and mitochondria. Lineage: Bacteria; Pseudomonadati; Bdellovibrionota; Bdellovibrionia; Bdellovibrionales; Pseudobdellovibrionaceae. The record is from RNAcentral.